UACAGAGGGUGCAAGCGUUGUUCGGAAUCAUUGGGCGUAAAGGGCGUGUAGGCGGUUUGUUAAGUCAUGUGUGAAAUCCCUCGGCUCAACCGGGGAACGACGCAUGAAACUGGCAAGCUAGAGUACCAAAGAGGGGGGUGGAAUUCCCGGUGUAGCAGUGAAAUGCGUAGAUAUCGGGAGGAACAUCUGUGGCGAAGGCGACACCCUGGACCAGCACUGACACUGAGGCACGAAAGCGUGGGGAGCAAACAGG
Molecule: ribosomal RNA, 253 nt
Filed under: uncultured bacterium
Lineage: Bacteria
Description: partial 16S ribosomal RNA
Rfam family: Bacterial small subunit ribosomal RNA
Source: RNAcentral